GACGAACGCUGGCGGCGUGCUUAACACAUGCAAGUCGAACGGAAAGGCCCUGCUUUUGUGGGGUGCUCGAGUGGCGAACGGGUGAGUAACACGUGAGUAACCUGCCCUUGACUUUGGGAUAACUUCAGGAAACUGGGGCUAAUACCGGAUAGGAGCUCCUGCUGCAUGGUGGGGGUUGGAAAGUUUCGGCGGUUGGGGAUGGACUCGCGGCUUAUCAGCUUGUUGGUGGGGUAGUGGCUUACCAAGGCUUUGACGGGUAGCCGGCCUGAGAGGGUGACCGGCCACAUUGGGCCUGAGAUACGGCCCAGACUCCUACGGGAGGCAGCAGUGGGGAAUAUUGCACAAUGGGCGGAAGCCUGAUGCAGCAACGCCGCGUGCGGGAUGACGGCCUUCGGGUUGAAAACCGCUUUCGCCUGUGACGAAGCGUGAGUGACGGUAAUGGGUAAAGAAGCACCGGCUAACUACGUG
This 468-nucleotide ribosomal RNA is filed under the name uncultured bacterium. Its description in RNAcentral is "partial 16S ribosomal RNA". It matches the Rfam family "Bacterial small subunit ribosomal RNA", at positions 28 to 507 of the family's 1533-position model. The record is from RNAcentral.